AUGGGUUCUGGUUGUUGUGUGACACAUUUGCAAGGAAGGAUUCAUCUCUCUCAUUCCUAAGGGUGAAUCUAAUAUGGAAAGAUUCUCAAAACUGUUGAGGUGCUUGCAAGCAGAAGAUGUUGACACAAGAAGAGUAUUUUCAAAGUAUUCUUAUGGUGGAAGUAUCUGAAAGAAUAAUUGGGAAAGGAUUUAAGAUCAAUGU
RNAcentral lists this long non-coding RNA (202 nucleotides) under Lathyrus oleraceus (garden pea). RNAcentral describes it as "Pisum sativum (pea) long non-coding RNA (PSAT_LNC030344)". The record is from RNAcentral. Lineage: Eukaryota; Viridiplantae; Streptophyta; Magnoliopsida; Fabales; Fabaceae.